AUUGAACGCUGGCGGAAUGCUUUACACAUGCAAGUCGAGCGGCAGCGCGGGGCAACCUGGCGGCGAGCGGCGAACGGGUGAGUAAUGCAUCGGAACGUACCCAGUCGUGGGGGAUAACUGUCCGAAAGGACAGCUAAUACCGCAUACGUCCUGAGGGAGAAAGCGGGGGAUCGCAAGACCUCGCGCGAUUGGAGCGGCCGAUGCCGGAUUAGCUAGUUGGUAGGUAAAGGCCUACCAAGGCGACGGAUCCGUAGCUGGUCUGAGAGGACGACCAGCCACACUGGAACUGAGACACGGUCCAGACUCCUACGGGAGGCAGCAGUGGGGAAUUUUGGACAAUGGGGGCAACCCGUGAAUCCAGCCAUUCCGCGUGAGUGAAGAAGGCCU
This 387-nucleotide ribosomal RNA is filed under the name uncultured bacterium. RNAcentral describes it as "bacterial SSU rRNA". It matches the Rfam family "Bacterial small subunit ribosomal RNA", at positions 29 to 417 of the family's 1533-position model. The record is from RNAcentral.